AAAAAUUAUUUGGGGGAGGGGCAAGUGCCCCCCCCCCCGCUUCAGGAGCCCUUGACGAGAAGUCCGUUGCAAAAAUGCUCCUAGGGAGUUUUUUUUUUUUAAAUCUACGACGCAUGACGAAUUCGGGAACAGAUAUCAACGAACGGAGAAGGCAGCAACCUUUGGUAGCAACACUGUCCUCUACGUUCAUUGAUAGAUAAAUGUUGUGCCCUUCAUGACAAGAGGUCUUUGUCAAAAGUUGGUUAAUUAAAACAGCAGCUUUGUCAUGGACUAUGGACAAACGACAUGAUUUAUUUGCAUUUUUUCCGACAGCUCUGAAACUUAGGACGAUCUGCCGUUCCGGUUCACCAAUUUUCGAAUUCCUCCUUUGCCACCCCACGGCCUCUGGAUUCGCGUCUGUCUCGGAUAUCUAAUUCGCAUCUUCAAAACAAAUCUACGAUUCAUUUUUUUUACAGAUGCUAAUUAGCAUGAUUAUGUAGUAAAAAAAUCUAUACUUUCUGGUGAUACUCAAAAAUCUUCCCAAGAUUUUGAAUCUGGUAAAACUGCACUCCGAUUAUUAGUCUACUUUCUUAGAGUUUUGUCUACUUGCUUUGUAUGGUAUUCAGAUUUGUCCGAAAUAACAGAAAUUAUAACAUGAAUUACUAGUCAUAUCGGUAGCCAAGUGUGACGCAAGAUUACACAGAAAUAUCGUAGAACACUAUAUGUACAGAAUAAUAUAUAUACUGUAUUUCCAACAGUAGAGAUGACAUACCCGAUCACCUAAAGUCACAUAAGCAACUUUAAUGCCACUUUCAGUACAAAUACUAACUAUUGUAUGGUUGUUUUUUUUAUUCCAAUUUGUGAUCUUAAAAAAAUAACAGGCCCCCGUCAUCAAUGCUAUGAAUGACGAGAAGGAUCUGUGCAUUUGGACAAAUGACUCAAUUCAUUUUUUAAUGCAAAUGAGGUGAAAACAUAAAACACAUUCAUUUGUAAAGACAGCUACAAACGAUACAAAAUGGGUUUUUAUUUC
Long non-coding RNA from Lytechinus variegatus (green sea urchin), 1009 nucleotides. RefSeq lists it as uncharacterized. The record is from RefSeq and is a predicted model, not a curated record. The transcript has 2 exons. NCBI's taxonomy places the organism in Eukaryota, Metazoa, Echinodermata, Echinoidea, Temnopleuroida, Toxopneustidae.